GACGAACGCUGGCGGCGUGCUUAGCACAUGCAAGUCGAACGGAAAGGCCCUUCGGGGUACUCGAGUGGCGAACGGGUGAGUAACACGUGGGUGAUCUGCCCUGCACUUUGGGAUAAGCCUGGGAAACUGGUUCUAAUACCGAAUAGGACCACGCGCUUCAUGGUGUGUGGUGGAAAGCUCUUGCGGUGUGGGAUGGGCACGCGGCCUAUCAGCUUGUUGGUGGGGUAAUGGCCUACCAAGGCGACGACUGGUAGCCGGCCUGAGAGGGUGACCGGACACACUGGGACUGAGAUACGGCCCAGACUCCUACGGGAGGGAGCAGUGGGGAAUAUUGCACUAUGGGAGGAAGCCUGAUGCAGCGACGCCGCGUGGGGGAUGACGGCCUUCGGGUUGUAAACCUCUUUCAAUAGGGACGAAGCGAAAGUGACGGUACCUAUAGAAGAAGCACCGGCCAACUACGUG
Molecule: ribosomal RNA, 462 nt
Filed under: uncultured bacterium
Lineage: Bacteria
Description: partial 16S ribosomal RNA
Rfam family: Bacterial small subunit ribosomal RNA
Source: RNAcentral